RNAcentral lists this long non-coding RNA (468 nucleotides) under Panax ginseng (ginseng). RNAcentral describes it as "long non-coding RNA (PGIN_LNC019217)". The record is from RNAcentral. Lineage: Eukaryota; Viridiplantae; Streptophyta; Magnoliopsida; Apiales; Araliaceae.
CAAAAUUGAAUGAAUCUAUAUCAAUGAGUUCCAAAACAUUUCAAAUUGACUUUUUUAAAAAAAAAAUCAGUAAUAAUCUAAUGUUAUAAUAGAAAAGAUAUACAGGCCUUAUAUUGGGAAUUUACUAGUAUAUGUAGACACUCAAGAGUCUGAAAGAUUGAGAAAAAACCUUGGUUUCGAUUCAAACGAUUGGAACGGCGCAGUGGAGCAGAGCUGCAGCUAACUUUACAGGAUUUCUUUAACUGGAUCUCCAUUGAUUUUGAUGAGGAAAUAAUUGGCGGAACCUGUUAUUCAACAUCACAAGCGGAAUAAAAUUAUAAAAAAAAUAAGGAGUUUUUCUAAAUAUAAAACUUGGAGAGGGAAGAGAUCUAUCUUGGACCUGGUAGUCUAAAUUGCGAGCAUUUCUAAUACUUUCAUAGUCUCUCUUUUCCCUUAGCCUACCUACCCAUCCUUCCUUUUCAAUGUUAG